GUGCUCACUUUGGCACACUUAUUAAACUGUAACAACCCUGAGAAGAUCAGCAUGCCCCUGCAUAAAUUUGGUAUACAAAUUCAUAAAGCAUUCCAUAUUUUU
Molecule: small nuclear RNA, 102 nt
Filed under: Neotoma lepida (desert woodrat)
Lineage: Eukaryota; Metazoa; Chordata; Mammalia; Rodentia; Cricetidae
Source: RNAcentral